GCCGCCUUAGCUCAGUUGGUUAGAGCGCUAGAUUGUGGAUCUAGAGGUCUCUGGUUCGAACCCAGAAGGCGGUACCA
RNAcentral lists this transfer RNA (77 nucleotides) under Hyphococcus flavus. RNAcentral describes it as "tRNA-His". It matches the Rfam family "tRNA". From Rfam's summary of the family: Transfer RNA (tRNA) molecules are approximately 80 nucleotides in length. Lineage: Bacteria; Pseudomonadati; Pseudomonadota; Alphaproteobacteria; Parvularculales; Parvularculaceae. RNAcentral also lists the same sequence under 1 other name. The record is from RNAcentral.